GCGAUCGAUCGAAGAGAGAUUGAUUAUACGACUCGUGAAAUCGGAGUCUCCUUCGCGAGCCGGAAAGCUCGUUGCCUUUUAUCGAUUGGAAAUUCUUUAGCGGCUAUAAAUUGAAAUUAGCGAAUUCCGGAAACAACGGAAUUCUUGGCACUCGACCGAACCUAUUACGGCAUCACUGGGCAGAUAUAAUUGAAGAGGAAUUCCUGCAGCUGUAUCUUCCGAAGUGGUCUACUUCUUCGAGUGGGUGGCGAUCGACGUUCAUCACCUCGACCUUUGUAAAAGUAUUCCACCCGAGACGUUGCAUAUCCCCCCCCCCCCCCGAUGACGCAUACGGGAACGAUAAAAAUAUCCGACAUUCGGCGAUGCCGGUAUCUAUUCCAAGUUGAAAUGUAUACGAAAACUAUCAUCGAGUUAUAAAUCGUUU
Molecule: unclassified non-coding RNA, 424 nt
Filed under: Athalia rosae (coleseed sawfly)
Lineage: Eukaryota; Metazoa; Arthropoda; Insecta; Hymenoptera; Athaliidae
Description: misc RNA ENSAEAG00005003463.1
Source: RNAcentral